RNAcentral lists this ribosomal RNA (465 nucleotides) under uncultured Klebsiella sp. RNAcentral's name for it is "bacterial SSU rRNA". It matches the Rfam family "Bacterial small subunit ribosomal RNA", at positions 338 to 795 of the family's 1533-position model. Lineage: Bacteria; Pseudomonadati; Pseudomonadota; Gammaproteobacteria; Enterobacterales; Enterobacteriaceae. The record is from RNAcentral.
CCUACGGGGGGCUGCAGUGGGGAAUAUUGCACAAUGGGCGCAAGCCUGAUGCAGCCAUGCCGCGUGUGUGAAGAAGGCCUUCGGGUUGUAAAGCACUUUCAGCGGGGAGGAAGGCGGUGAGGUUAAUAACCUCAUCGAUUGACGUUACCCGCAGAAGAAGCACCGGCUAACUCCGUGCCAGCAGCCGCGGUAAUACGGAGGGUGUAAGCGUUAAUCGGAAUUACUGGGCGUAAAGCGCACGCAGGCGGUCUGUCAAGUCGGAUGUGAAAUCCCCGGGCUCAACCUGGGAACUGCAUUCGAAACUGGCAGGCUAGAGUCUUGUAGAGGGGGGUAGAAUUCCAGGUGUAGCGGUGAAAUGCGUAGAGAUCUGGAGGAAUACCGGUGGCGAAGGCGGCCCCCUGGACAAAGACUGACGCUCAGGUGCGAAAGCGUGGGGAGCAAACAGGAUUAGAUACCCGUGUAGUC